AGGGGGAAGACAUGCGGCAAACAUCACUGGGUCAAGACUUGAACCCGGGACAGCCACGUCGAGGACUAAGGCCUCUAUACAUGGGUCACACACUCCACUGCUGCGCCACAAACCAUACCCAUUUCCUCUCAUUUUUGAUGUAACAUAAUACCAUUCAAAAUCAAUGGGAAUACAAUGCCACCAGUGUCUGAAAUGGCCACACAAAGAUUACUAGCAGCAUCACUGCUGGACUGUAGCCACCCCAGAACUGUGUCUUGCUCCUGAAGCCAGCUUCUGAUUUACAAUUUCCCAGUACACCACUAACACACUGAGCCAUAUAGGGUGCUCAUCUGGGUCAGAAGUCUGAGUCAGCAAGCAUCAGGCUCCCCAGUGCAAAAAGAACAUCCCACAUUUAGAUCCAGUGGAGGAGAGGGUGGAGUGAGCAUGCUGCUUGUAAAUCACAUUACACAAAAACAAACUUCUGGAGGUCCUUGUAGUAAUGUUGUAUUGGGGUUAUAUCAGAGGCAAAUAACCAUCCAGAGUCCAGUGACUUCAGCUGAGGCCUGUUAGUGCUGCUCUACAUCAAAGAGUUGCUAUAGUUUCAGCCAACCAUCAGGAGCAGGAGGAGGAAGAGAGGAGUUGCUGAUUUUCCAUUAAGACUUAAUGGGAGACUGAGUGAAGCCAAAAGAGCAGCACAAAGAUGAGCAUUUGGCUGGAGACGACCAACAAGAGACUGGCAAAAUAAAAACUCAGGAUCAUAAAUCUGCUGUUCUGUUCCUACAGAAAAAAACUACAAAUUCUCCACUGCAGCCUCUGAGACUCAACAGAACCUGCAUUAGAAGCAGUUUUUCAUGCCCAUGGUUUAAAUGGUUUGACCACAUACAUGCUGUUUUUACUUGUUUAUUGGUUUUGCACACUGCUCAGUUGCUCAUGCUAUGUUGGUGAUCUAUUCUCUCAUUUUAUUGUGCAAGUUAUAUUCAGAUUUUCCCUGUAACGUUCUUGGUGCAAAGUAGUUUGUGAAUGUUUCUGUCCCAAUAUUUGGAUCAGUUCUCAUUAAAUUAAUCUGAGCGUUCGACAACAUCAGAAAGUCUGCCUGUUAAACCCUUUGCCAUGCAAACUGUUUAACCCCCAGCAAAUUUGUUGCGAUGACAAUUUGGAUGUGAUGGAUCUGUUUUCUGCAUCAAACCCACUUCAGUGUGCAAAGCAAUGAUGCCCAACCUGGAGGCAUCAAUGAUCUCAGAUUUGUUUGAGAUUUUGGGACCCACUGUCCUGCAUGUUUUAGAUGUUUCCAUGCUGAAACCUGCCUGAUCUGAGAUAAUGAUUCAGUAUUUCUCUAGAGGACGUCUCUAGAGGACUGUGUGUCCCUUCUGGGCUGAAAAAGCUUUAAGGUCCACUAUGAAGGGGAUCUCAAUUCUUCCUAUGAAGUUUCCUUCAUAGGGGAUUUUCAUAGGAAGUUAACUGAUCUCAGAUAAGCAAAUUUGUAAGUGGCUAAGAGGCUUAUGAAACCACUAGAUUCCAGCAAAGAAGAAGGGAAAUGUCUUAAAGAUCCAGG
Girardinichthys multiradiatus is the source of this 1531-nucleotide long non-coding RNA. RefSeq lists it as uncharacterized. The record is from RefSeq and is a predicted model, not a curated record. The transcript is spliced from 4 exons. NCBI's taxonomy places the organism in Eukaryota, Metazoa, Chordata, Actinopteri, Cyprinodontiformes, Goodeidae.